GACGAACGCUGGCGGCGUGCUUAACACAUGCAAGUCGAACGGAAAGGCCCUGCUUUUGUGGGGUGCUCGAGUGGCGAACGGGUGAGUAACACGUGAGUAACCUGCCCUUGACUUUGGGAUAACUUCAGGAAACUGGGGCUAAUACCGGAUAGGAGCUCCUGCUGCAUGGUGGGGGUUGGAAAGUUUCGGCGGUUGGGGAUGGACUCGCGGCUUAUCAGCUUGUUGGUGGGGUAGUGGCUUACCAAGGCUUUGACGGGUAGCCGGCCUGAGAGGGUGACCGGCCACGUUGGGACUGAGAUACGGCCCAGACUCCCACGGGAGGCAGCAGUGGGGAAUAUUGCACAAUGGGCGGAAGCCUGAUGCAGCAACGCCGCGUGCGGGAUGACGGCCUUCGGGUUGUAAACCGCUUUCGCCUGUGACGAAGCGUGAGUGACGGUAAUGGGUAAAGAAGCACCGGCUAACUACGU
RNAcentral lists this ribosomal RNA (467 nucleotides) under uncultured bacterium. RNAcentral describes it as "partial 16S ribosomal RNA". It matches the Rfam family "Bacterial small subunit ribosomal RNA", at positions 28 to 506 of the family's 1533-position model. The record is from RNAcentral.